Molecule: ribosomal RNA, 497 nt
Filed under: uncultured bacterium
Lineage: Bacteria
Description: partial 16S ribosomal RNA
Rfam family: Bacterial small subunit ribosomal RNA
Source: RNAcentral
GAUGAACGCUGGCGGCGUGCCUAAUACAUGCAAGUCGAGCGAACGGACGAGAAGCUUGCUUCUCUGGUGUUAGCGGCGGACGGGUGAGUAACACGUGGAUAACCUACCUAUAAGACUGGGAUAACUUCGGGAAACCGGAGCUAAUACCGGAUAAUAUUUUGAACCGCAUGGUUCAAAAGUGAAAGACGGUCUUGCUGUCACUUAUAGAUGGAUCCGCGCUGCAUUAGCUAGUUGGUAAGGUAACGGCUUACCAAGGCAACGAUGCAUAGCCGACCUGAGAGGGUGAUCGGCCACACUGGAACUGAGACACGGUCCAGACUCCUACGGGAGGCAGCAGUAGGGAAUCUUCCGCAAUGGGCGAAAGCCUGACGGAGCAACGCCGCGUGAGUGAUGAAGGUCUUCGGAUCGUAAAACUCUGUUAUUAGGGAAGAACAUAUGUGUAAGUAACUGUGCACAUCUUGACGGUACCUAAUCAGAAAGCCACGGCUAACUACGUG